RNAcentral lists this transfer RNA (93 nucleotides) under Roseomonas fluvialis. RNAcentral describes it as "Roseomonas sp. S08 tRNA-Arg". The record is from RNAcentral. Lineage: Bacteria; Pseudomonadati; Pseudomonadota; Alphaproteobacteria; Acetobacterales; Roseomonadaceae.
UGGCCCGAGGCGACGGUGCUGCUGCUGGCCGCGGCGCACGGCCCCGCGCAGGUCGUGGCGCGGGGCCUCCUGUUCGCCGCGGGGCGGGCCGCC